This 375-nucleotide ribosomal RNA is filed under the name uncultured organism. RNAcentral's name for it is "partial 16S ribosomal RNA". It matches the Rfam family "Bacterial small subunit ribosomal RNA", at positions 527 to 896 of the family's 1533-position model. The record is from RNAcentral.
GUAGGGUGCGAGCGUUAAUCGGGAAUUACUGGGGCGUAAAGCGUGCGCAGGCGGUUAUAUAAGGACAGAUGUGAAAUCCCCCGGGGGCUCAACCUGGGAACUGCAUUUGUGACUGCAUGGCUAGAGUACGGUAGAGGGGGAUGGAAUUCCGCGUGUAGCAGUGAAAUGCGUAGAUAUGCGGAGGAACACCGAUGGCGAAGGCAAUCCCCUGGACCUGUACUGACGCUCAUGCACGAAAGCGUGGGGAGCAAACAGGAUUAGAUACCCUGGUAGUCCACGCCCUAAACGAUGUCAACUGGUUGUUGGGAAUUAGUUUUCUCAGUAACGAAGCUAACGCGUGAAGUUGACCGCCUGGGGAGUACGGCCGCAAGGUUG